UACGUAGGGUGCGAGCGUUGUCCGGAAUUAUUGGGCGUAAAGGGCUCGUAGGCGGUUUGUCGCGUCGGGAGUGAAAUCCACUGGCUUAACUGGUGGCUUGCUUUCGAUACGGGCAGACUGGAGGUAUGCAGGGGAGAACGGAAUUCCUGGUGUAGCGGUGAAAUGCGUAGAUAUCGGGAGGAACACCAGUGGCGAAGGCGAUCUUCUGGACGGAUACUGACGCUGAGGCGCGAAAGCUAGGGGAGCAAACGGG
This 253-nucleotide ribosomal RNA is filed under the name uncultured bacterium. Its description in RNAcentral is "partial 16S ribosomal RNA". It matches the Rfam family "Bacterial small subunit ribosomal RNA", at positions 524 to 776 of the family's 1533-position model. The record is from RNAcentral.